AGCAAACUAAGCUGAGAGAAGCAGAAGAGCAUCACUACAUCUCCAAGUUCUCCACCUGACCUACUUCUCAGACUCAGUAAAUGUCACCCUCCUGCCGGGGCUACCUGCUUUGCCUGGACCAGAAGUUGUAGCUCUACACUAGAGUGAAGCCCUAUGGACCUCUUGGACCUGGCAGCAGAAGACUGAUGUGACCCUGAGACCUCAGCCCCCUUCAAGAUCACCUUGGAGGAUCCCAGGGUUACUGUCCAAGAAGCAGAUGCCUCCAGGACCACCUACGGGAACUCAGCAGAUAGACUUCCCACCAGAUGCUACUACAACCCUCUCCCAACAAUUGGCCUUAUCUGUAGAUGAAGCAUGGGAAAGACCGUCAGCCUUCGCUCCUGGGGACUUCACAAAUUUUCAAAUUCCAGCCAACCCCCCCCUUAAUGAUGCCCCCA
Castor canadensis (American beaver) is the source of this 437-nucleotide non-coding RNA. The record is from RefSeq and is a predicted model, not a curated record. Lineage: Eukaryota; Metazoa; Chordata; Mammalia; Rodentia; Castoridae.